RNAcentral lists this RNase P RNA (362 nucleotides) under Paramicrobacterium chengjingii. Its description in RNAcentral is "Microbacterium sp. HY60 RNase P RNA component class A". It matches the Rfam family "Bacterial RNase P class A". From Rfam's summary of the family: Ribonuclease P (RNase P) is a ubiquitous endoribonuclease, found in archaea, bacteria and eukarya as well as chloroplasts and mitochondria. Its best characterised activity is the generation of mature 5'-ends of tRNAs by cleaving the 5'-leader elements of precursor-tRNAs. Cellular RNase Ps are ribonucleoproteins. Lineage: Bacteria; Bacillati; Actinomycetota; Actinomycetes; Micrococcales; Microbacteriaceae. The record is from RNAcentral.
CGGGUCGGCAAGACGGUCGCGUCACCGGUAACGGUGCCGAGGAACGUCCGGGCUCCAGAGAGCAGGGUGGUGGGUAACACCCACCCGAGGCAACUCGCGAGACAGUGCAACAGAGAGCAGACCGCCGCCGGCCUUGGCCGGCGGUAAGGGUGAAAGGGUGGUGUAAGAGACCACCAGCAUCCGGGGUGACCCGGGUGGCUCGGUAAACCUCGCCCGGAGCAAGGUCAGACAGGGAACUAUGAGGCUGCUCGUCUCGUUCCCGGGUAGACCGCUAGAGGGCCGUGGCAACACGUCCCCGAGAGAGAUGGCCGUCCAGAGCGCGUGCGCUCAGACAGAACCCGGCGUAACAGUCGGCCCGUUCA